This 267-nucleotide ribosomal RNA is filed under the name uncultured archaeon. RNAcentral describes it as "partial 16S ribosomal RNA". It matches the Rfam family "Archaeal small subunit ribosomal RNA", at positions 717 to 982 of the family's 1478-position model. The record is from RNAcentral.
ACACGACUACAUUAGAUACCCGGGUAGUCCUAGCCGUAAACGAUACUCGCUAGGUGUCGGCCACGGUGCGACCGUUGUCGGUGCCGUAGGGAAGCCGUGAAGCGAGCCACCGUGGGAAGUACGGCCGCAAGGCUAGAAACUUAAAGGAAUUGGCGGGGGAGCACAACAACGGGUGGAGCUUGCGGUUUAAUUGGAUUCAACGCCGGAAAUCUUACCGGGACCGACAGCAACAUGAAGGCCAAGCUGAAGACUUUGCCGGAUUAGCUG